This 1853-nucleotide long non-coding RNA is filed under the name Triticum aestivum (bread wheat). RNAcentral's name for it is "long non-coding RNA (TAES_LNC013496)". Lineage: Eukaryota; Viridiplantae; Streptophyta; Magnoliopsida; Poales; Poaceae. The record is from RNAcentral.
CCGAUCCGCCGCCGGCCUUCUCCCAUAGCCCCACCCAAUCCACUGUCGUGCGCGGCACCGAGGCUGGCAGGUACCCCGUGCAUCUGCAAGCUGCUGCAGUUGGCUGCGCCACCUCAUCUACUCGCUGGCUUCCGCACGUGAGCACAACCGGAGAGCCCGUGUAACUUCUACAUCUGCCCACGCAUCCUCAUGCUCUGCCUCCGCUCUCUCUGAUUAGUUCACCUUCUCAUGAGUGCCACCUCGACCUUCCCUGUACCAGCUAAUUUUUAACUUCAUUGUACGCAUGUGUUCUCAUUUUGAUUUGUAUCCACUUGUAGGAACUAAAAAUGUACGCAUGUGUUCUCCUUUUGAUCUGUAUCUACUACUAUCUAAAUCUUAUUAUCUAGGUGCCAAAAAAAUGUGCGCCGAGACGCCGCCCCCGCGGCCGAACUCCUGCCUCCGCUUGGCUCCGUCCGCAGCAGCACACCACCUCCCUCGCCAUCCACCUGCCUGUGUUCAUAUUCUGCAGGUGACCUUCUCUCCUCACGCGUACUAACCUUCCUCCUCCUCCUCCUGCUUCCUCCUCCCCUUUAGGAUGAUUGAACUAUGUCGCAUGGAGUAGUAGAACCGUCGGCGUGUCUGGCUCCCAUUCCUCAUUUGUGCGCCUUGACUUCUGGCGGUGCCACGAUGAGAAACCAACUCGUCCAAUUUUUCAGCGGGGGAUCACACAAUGGGUUUUGAGGGGUACUGGAGUUCAGAGUGAACGUGGAUUAAGGUUCGGAGAUGUGUUUUUUAGUACAUUCAGAGAGGGUUUCCCCCUGUUUUUCAUUUCUUAGCCUCUUCAUGAUUUAUGAGAUAAUUUCUGAGACUAACAUUCCAUUGUAGCUUAUAGUCUCAUGUGUGUAUGAUUUUUUUUGAUCAAGUAUACUCUGCAUCCUUGAAAAUACUCGAACCUGAUCAUAACUUGGUUAAGUCUUUGAUAUAGCAGAAAAUUUUAUAGCCAAACAUAUUGCUAUCUGAAAAUUAUUAUCUUUGUGUGAAUAAGUUUUAACCCUAUGCGGAAAAAAAAUCUGCACAAACCUCCACAAAGGCAAUUCUUGAUCCCUAGACCAGUUCGAUCAGUUAGAUGCGUGCAGAAAUGUAACAUGUAGUUCUUUGGGUUCCCUGCUUUCAUUUUGGUAAAACAAUUGAUGAGAAAAUGUACCUAUACAGAAAUGAUGGUUCAGUUCAAGAAAAAUGGAUGUUUACUAAUUUUGCGGUCUAAAGUUUCUUUGUGUUUUUUACAGCAGUUUGGAGUGUAUUUAUAUAGAAGAAGAAAAAACAACGGCACCUGCACCGGAGCAGCAGGACAACGCACCCUCCCAGCGAUGGCGCAGCAGCGCAUUCGCCGUCUGUGCACAUGUGUGUGAAGUGCACUUGAGGGAGCACUCCCCUGUUGCUAUUCUGCACCUACGCCUCCCCAUGGAUCCCAUUCUCUUCUCUUCUUUUUGCUAUGAGUUUGUAAAUUGAAGAUCAGUCAUAACAGGGGAAGAAAAAGCUUUAGAGAGUUUUUCGUAAAAAAAUCAAAGAUGUUAUUCAGAUUGUGAUGGACUUUUCGUACAUGUUUAUGCUAGUUCAUGCUCGUUUGUACUCUUUUUUACUCUGUUUCAGAUUUUGGUUUGAAGAAGUAUGUGCAUGUUGACAGAGACAAUCUAUACAGAGAAGUUCAAAUAUUAUUGCCCCACAGGUUCAUGUCUUCACAAGAUGUACCACUAUUUUCUUCUCUCCCACAAAAGUGUGUGUUUUAGUUCUUUUUCUAUCUCUUUUUGCCCACGGGUUUGUAAUAAUGUUGCGGAUGCUCUAGCGACGCACGGGUCAAAGAUGGUGCAUAUGUC